AACGAACGCUGGCGGCAGGCCUAACACAUGCAAGUCGAACGCCGUAGCAAUACGGAGUGGCAGACGGGUGAGUAACGCGUGGGAACAUACCCCUCGGUUCGGAAUAACUCAGGGAAACUUGAGCUAAUACCGGAUACGUCCGAGGUUUUAAUCGGCCUUGGAGAAAGAUUUAUCGCCGGAGGAUUGGCCCGCGUCUGAUUAGCUUGUUGGUGAGGUAAUGGCUCACCAAGGCGACGAUCAGUAGCUGGUCUGAGAGGAUGAUCAGCCACAUUGGGACUGAGACACGGCCCAAAACUCCUACGGGAGGCAGCAGUGGGGAAUAUUGGACAAUGGGCGAAAGCCUGAUCCAGCCAUGCCGCGUGAGUGAUGAAGGCC
Molecule: ribosomal RNA, 375 nt
Filed under: uncultured bacterium
Lineage: Bacteria
Description: bacterial SSU rRNA
Rfam family: Bacterial small subunit ribosomal RNA
Source: RNAcentral